GAAGACUUGAAAUUCUUCACUGAUCCUGAAAUGGGCACCAACCUCUUCUAUGUGGCCUUCAGUCUUCUGUGGGCAGGCUACACGGAGUCUACAAUCACCCAAAAUCCAAGACACAAGGUCACUGAGACAAGAAGAAAGGUGGCUCUGAGCUGCCAUCAGACUUACAAGCAUGACUACAUGUACUGGUAUCGACAAGACCCUGGUCAUGGGCUGAGACUGAUCCAUUACUCAUAUGAUGUUAACAACACUGAAAAAGGAGAAGUAUCUGAUGGCUACAGUGUCUCUAGAUCAAGCACAGAGGAAUUCCCUCUCACUCUGGAGUCAGCCACCACUUCCCAGACAUCUGUGUACUUCUGUGCCAGCAGUGAUCCACAGUGCUGCACGGCCUCCCCCUCUCUGCAUAUAAAGCAUAACUAG
Non-coding RNA from Castor canadensis (American beaver), 417 nucleotides. NCBI's taxonomy places the organism in Eukaryota, Metazoa, Chordata, Mammalia, Rodentia, Castoridae. The record is from the annotation of a RefSeq genome assembly.